GGGUGCGAUCAUACCAGCACUAAUGCACCGGAUCUCAUCAGAACUCUGCAGUUAAGCGUGCUUGGGCGAGAGUAGUACUAGGAUGGGUGACCUCUUGGGAUGUCCUCGUGUUGCACCCC
This 119-nucleotide ribosomal RNA is filed under the name Theobroma cacao (cacao). The record is from RNAcentral. Lineage: Eukaryota; Viridiplantae; Streptophyta; Magnoliopsida; Malvales; Malvaceae.